ACAAGCAUGCAAGAAGCAAGAUCGUGCAAUGUGAGUGUCGGAGACGCGUUUGUCGAUCCGUGAAGGGCCAGCGGAGGGAAUCGAGGUCCGAAACCGCCAUCCUGGCUUCGAACAUCCCUCGUCAGUGAUGCGACCAUCGUUGUCCGCGCCGAAUGUUCUCCUCGAUCAGAACGUCACACGCGCGUCCCCGAGAUUUGUGCGGCUGCCUGGAAUGCGAAACGUUUGCGGUUCGACCGUCUGCCCUGAGUCUAGUUCACCUACGGUGUUCUUGGAUUCGCUCCAAGCUACGCUAAUUAGGGGAAACAAGGGGCUUCCACGUUGCGAUUACACCAAAGGGAAAUCCAUAUUGUGAAUGUCCGAGUGACUGACUGGACCGUUCCCCUACUAUCUCUACGCUUUUCUCGCCCUGUAUCCUCUGAGCUCUGGUUUCAUUCUACACUCCUCUCGUCUAUCCGACGCGAUAUCUACGAGGCUGUAGUGCAUCAUCAACGAUGGACAUGCAUUUUCGUCCUGCAUCAGAUAUUAAAGGGUGCUCGGUGAGUGGCAUUACUCGCGACGUAAAAUUAAAUGCGUCUUCUGUUCGAAUUGCUCUUAAAUCUAUCGAGAUAUACCUACUAGCUCUAAAUACACGUUAUGCUUUUACGAUCCUUUCUGUUAAAAUUCUCUCUGUUAAUCUUUCGUACG
This 684-nucleotide unclassified non-coding RNA is filed under the name Bombus terrestris (buff-tailed bumblebee). RNAcentral's name for it is "misc RNA ENSBTSG00005032385.1". Lineage: Eukaryota; Metazoa; Arthropoda; Insecta; Hymenoptera; Apidae. The record is from RNAcentral.